AUCGCUUCUCGGCCUUUUGGCUAAGAUCAAGUGUAGUAUCUGUUCUUAUCAGUUUAAUAUCUGAUACGUCCUCUACCCGAGGACAAUAUAUUAAAUGGAUUUUUGGAGCAGGGAGUUGGAAUAGGAGCUUGCUCCGUCCACUCCACGCAUCGACCUGGUAUUGCAGUACCUCCAGGAACGGUGCACCCCCU
This 191-nucleotide small nuclear RNA is filed under the name Bos indicus x Bos taurus (hybrid cattle). Its description in RNAcentral is "U2 spliceosomal RNA (ENSBIXG00005005613.1)". It matches the Rfam family "U2 spliceosomal RNA". From Rfam's summary of the family: U2 is a small nuclear RNA (snRNA) component of the spliceosome (involved in pre-mRNA splicing). Complementary binding between U2 snRNA (in an area lying towards the 5' end but 3' to hairpin I) and the branchpoint sequence (BPS) of the intron results the bulging out of an unpaired adenosine, on the BPS, which initiates a nucleophilic attack at the intronic 5' splice site, thus starting the first of two transesterification reactions that mediate splicing. Lineage: Eukaryota; Metazoa; Chordata; Mammalia; Artiodactyla; Bovidae. The record is from RNAcentral.